Molecule: long non-coding RNA, 496 nt
Organism: Coregonus clupeaformis (lake whitefish)
Lineage: Eukaryota; Metazoa; Chordata; Actinopteri; Salmoniformes; Salmonidae
Exons: 3
Source: RefSeq, a predicted model, not a curated record
UCUGAACCCAACCUCCUUGCCAAAGAGGAGCUGAACCUGCUGGCUCGACUGAUGGGUGGAAUAGAGGUUCAGAACCCAAACACUGAUACUGAAACAGGGUUCCGGGUCAACCUCUUUGCCACAGACCAAGAAGAAGAAGAGGUGUGGAGCCUCAGGAGGGAAUGGAGAUCAGUCAUUUGAAGUGAAUCAUAUUCAAGCAAUACAGGGCGUGAAGGUCAACACAGAACUGACUCGGAUCGCUGGAGAGUUUACCAAGGAGCCUGAACAGACUGAAACACUGACUCGGAUCGCUGGAGAGUUUACCAAGGAGCCUGAACAGACUGAAACACUGACUCGGAUCGCUGGAGAGUUUACCAAGGAGCCUGAACAGACUGAAACACUGACUCGGAUCGCUGGAGAGUUUACCAAGGAGCCUGAACAGACUGAAACACUGACUCGGAUCGCUGGAGAGUUUACCAAGGAGCCUGAACAGACUGAAACACUGACUCGGAUCGCU